UGGUACAACAUAUCCCGCCUCCUCCCCCGUCUGUGUGCCUCCACAUUCCUCUGCAUUAAAAGUGUACAUACCUUUAUGUCUCAAACGUCAUGUGUGUGUAGACACACUGUCGUUAAUGAAAAACAAAAAUAAGCUCUUUUUGUUUUGCCUCUGUUACUUAAUCUGUGGGGAUGCAGGGGCAGGGGAAGCGGGAGAACGGCUGUGCUGCAGGGCCUGGGCAGCAGCCAAUCAGGGAGCGGGAUUAGCUGGAGGCAGGCAUAAACACGGGUUGUUGCUGUUGGUAACAGAGAUCUGAUUGGCUGCUUGGAGUUCUUGCUCAAUGGGAUAGGUGUUUUAACGUGUGGGUAUUUUGAUCACUGUUAUGAGCAUGUUUAUGUGCUGUUAUGUUCCUUAAUAACCUUGUUAUUCCCCCUCUUUUGUUUUUUUUUAUAAAGAGAACCGGGGGACUCUGCAGGCCACUCGGUGAGUGCAUGAUAAAACCUCUGAGCACUGCAACGUCUCCUGAACUUUGAACACCGGUAGUUGUUGCUUGAUAGAGGAAAGUUCGUAUCGGACGUAAACACGCAGAGCAGCACAGAGGGCUGGACGUCCAGUAAAACCACAUGUGACGUCCCAGCGGAGUUCGCUGACUGCACAAAGCACCUGCUCCUGUUUUGCCCCGCUGACAGACCUUUGCAUCACUUCCAUUUUGUGACCUCGGGUUCAAGAGGCUGUGUUUUUCUGCAGCUGCUGCCCCCGAGCAGAAGACCACAUGUGUGUUUGGGUGUUGUUUGGUGCUGCUGGGCACCUGUUCCAGGUUCCUUUACCGUCACUAGGUUGUUGUCAUCCUUUAUCUCUGUGGACACGGACGCAGACGCCAAACACUUCGCUAUCUGCCACAUCAUAAAAUAAAACAAAACGCACACAUGAAAAUGAAAAGCUUUUAAUCUUCACAGAUGAUUUGUGAUUGUAAGUGUUUGACACACGUGACCUGCAGCUGCUCUCGUGUGCAGCGUCGCCUGCAGAGUAAGUGCGCUGUGUGUGUGUUUUUUUUGUUGUUGUGUGUUUGCGUGUGUGAGUGACAGACACACACAGCCAUGUGCUACCUGCCACACAGGAUGCAGCUGCAGCGAGACGUAAACAGAGUCUGUGCGCGUCGCGUCGAGCUGCUCAUUUUCUCAAAACAGUGGCUCUUUGUCGGCUUUGUUCGUCGCCCUGUCUUAAUUGCGCGACCCUCUUCAGCCGAGCGCUCCCUCAGGCCUGCACCGAGCUAAUCUAAUCACUAAUCUUUGAUUACGUUUUCCCUUUGUGUUCGCCGAGGACCCAGCGCAAUCACGUUUGCCUAAUCACUGGAAAACAGGGAUGCGGGGAAUGAGCCGCCCUCGGUCCAUAUCAGCUUUAGGACAGCUGCUCAUCCCUUGAUCUCCUGUAGGAUACGUCCACGUCUGUCCACUACGUCUUGCUUAAGGCCUCAGAAACAUGGAAAACACAGCGGGAGAAAUCACCUCAGUCCGUCUGAGCUCGAUUUAAAGCUCAGGCUUUAUUCCUGAGUCGGGCUCCAGAGCGGCUCCUUUGUCCUAGUAAAGGGACUAGGGAACCUCCGCGUCUCUGCUCCGGCUUGGACCCAACAAGGGUCCGUAGGUCUCCG
Long non-coding RNA from Betta splendens (Siamese fighting fish), 1627 nucleotides. The record is from Ensembl. Lineage: Eukaryota; Metazoa; Chordata; Actinopteri; Anabantiformes; Osphronemidae.